Molecule: long non-coding RNA, 886 nt
Organism: Elgaria multicarinata webbii
Lineage: Eukaryota; Metazoa; Chordata; Lepidosauria; Squamata; Anguidae
Exons: 3
Source: RefSeq, a predicted model, not a curated record
UCUGUCUUCCAGCUAUCCCACCCAAUUUUGUGUCAUUUGCAAAUUUGAUAAGCAUUUCCUGCACCUCCACAUUCAAGUCAUUAAUAAAAAUGUUGAAGAGCAUUGUGUCCAGGACUGAGCCCAGAGUCUCUACCUGGAUCAUUUUUCCUACCUGGACUUUGCUGAGUUCUACACCCUGGAUUCUAGAAGAGAUCUCUUUCAACCUUCCUCACGAUCUAUGAAAGUCUGGUGUUCAGAUCUCUUCUUGGUACAGAUUCCUACAUCACUUGUUGGAUGAAAGAGAUGGAGAAGAAGUUACUUAGGCUAGGCUUCUCAGUGGAAACUGGGCAACCAUGGGCUUCAGAAGGCCCAAUUUCUUGUUGUUCAAAGACUAAUACACCUAGAUCUACACUGCUGCCAACAAAUCUUGUUCUCUGUUACUCUAUAAUAACUACGGACUCACUCCAACUUCAUAUCUGCAUACGUUAACCAUUACAAAGUACAGAAGAGCAUUUACCCUUGCUCUCUUUAAUGUGUUGCCAUCAGCAUUACUAGAACGACGAUUUAGUAAGAUCCUGGUUAAUGAAUGGAUAUGUCCCUGUGGUGCUGGAACAACAGAAUCUGUUGAACAUGUCCUUUUGUAUUGUAAUAUGUAUAAGGAAUGCAGAAAAAAAACUAAGUAACUCCACAAUUUUGGUAUUAAUUUAAGGGAUGUGUCCUCUUGUAUAACCAAAGGGGUUGCUAAGGUUUUAAAUGACAAAUUAGGGGGGAAAUGUUGCUAUCCUCCUGAGAGAAGAAUUCUACAAAAUUGUAUUUUGCUAUUAUGUUACUUUUUAACUAUCUUUUACAUGCUUUAUAUUAACUUUGCUAGUCUGUGACGGUAAUAAAUGAAAUGGAUUUGAUUUUA